UUGUUAAAAGAGGAUGAUGAUGACAUUAUGGAUGUCUGCUAGGGGCCAUAGGGGAGGAAAAGGCAAGAUGCAGCAACAGAGAAAGCACAUUGUUACGUCCAGAUGGCAAGUACGAGUGGCCAAUAGAGCAGCCGAUUGGUCCGUGUGCCAGCAGGCAGCCGGCGGGAAAUUGGUGGCUCCUGAUUGGCCCAGCUACUGACAGCUGAGUAUAAAAGAGCUGUCAGUGCCUCAAAAUGCCACUCGCUCUCCAAGGUAGUUAGCUAAGCAGAGCGAGUCACUGUUAGCUGUUAUUGUUAACCAAUAAACAUUUGUGUUUAUCU
Pantherophis guttatus is the source of this 320-nucleotide long non-coding RNA. RefSeq lists it as uncharacterized. The record is from RefSeq and is a predicted model, not a curated record. NCBI's taxonomy places the organism in Eukaryota, Metazoa, Chordata, Lepidosauria, Squamata, Colubridae.